This 253-nucleotide ribosomal RNA is filed under the name uncultured bacterium. RNAcentral describes it as "partial 16S ribosomal RNA". It matches the Rfam family "Bacterial small subunit ribosomal RNA", at positions 524 to 776 of the family's 1533-position model. The record is from RNAcentral.
UACGGAGGGUGCAAGCGUUAUCCGGAUUCACUGGGUUUAAAGGGUGCGUAGGUGGCUUUGUAAGUCAGUGGUGAAAGCCCGGGGCUCAACCCCGGAAUUGCCAUUGAUACUGCUUAGCUUGAAUCAGGUCGAGGUGGAUGGAAUAUUACAUGUAGCGGUGAAAUGCUUAGAGAUGUAAUAGAACACCGAUUGCGAAGGCAGUUCACUAGGCCCGUAUUGACACUGAGGCACGAAAGCGUGGGGAUCAAACAGG